AACCUGGUUGAUCCUGCCAGUAGCAUAUGCUUAUCUUGGAGAUUAAGCCAUGCAUGUCUGAGUAUAAGUUAAAUACGGCGAAACUGCGAAUGGCUCAUUAAAACAGUUAUAGUAUACUUGAUGAUGUUUUUUAUAUGGAUAACCGUUGGGAAACCAGAGCUAAUACAUGCACCAAAAGCCUUCGGGCUGUAUUUAUUAGUUAUUGACCAACACCUUCGGGUUUUGUGAUGAUUCAUAAUAACUGAUCGAAGCGUAUUUGUAUACGCUAAAUCUUUCUAGUUUCUGCUCUAUCAGCUUGAUGGUAGUGUAUUGGACUACCAUGGCUUUCACGGGUAACGGAGAAUUAGGGUUCGAUUCCGGAGAGGGAGCCUGAGAAACGGCUACCACAUCUACGGUAGGCAGCAGGCGCGUAAAUUACCCAAUCUUGACUUAGGGAGGUAGUUACAAGAAAUAUAGUAAUUGCUUUUGCAAUGUCUAAAUGAUCUUAACAUAAACCGUUUUUUGAAUGCGAUUGGAGGGCAAGUCUGGUGCCAGCAGCCGCGGUAAUUCCAGCUCCAAUAGUGUAUCUUAAUGUUGUUGCUGUUAAAAAGCUCGUAGUUGAAUUUCUGGCAUCCUAGCUUGGCUCCGGCUCGGCAGGGAUGUCAUCCGCUCUGAAAGCUUGUACGCCUAACAGCUGCAGGUCGAAGGAGUAUUUUACUUUGAAGAAAUUAGAGUGUUCCAGGCAAGCAAUGCUUGAAUAUUACAGCAUGGAAUAAUGGAAUAGGACUAUGCAUUUCGUUGGUUAAUGCAUUAGUAAUGAUUAACAGGGACAGUUGGGGGCAUUCGUACUGGGCAGUUAGUGGUAAAAUACGUUGACCUGCUCAAGACGCACUAAUGCGAAAGCAUUUGCCAAGGAUGUUUUCAUUAAUCAAGAACGAAAGUUAGGGGAUCAAAGACGAUUAGAUACCGUUGUAGUCCUAACUAUAAACUAUACCGACUAGGGAUUGGCAGGGGGAUGUCCCCUGUCAGCACCUAAUGAGAAAUCAAAGUCUUUGGGUUCAGGGGGGAGUAUGGUCGCAAGGCUGAAACUUAAAGGAAUUGACGGAAGGGCACCACCAGGAGUUAACACUUUGUUACAUUAGUAGCCAAAGGCUCGGCUCCAGUAUGUGUCUUGGGAAUAGAGUGCCGCUUUAAAAGAACAUUAUUCCCUUGGUAAAGCACAUGCUAGUAAACAGCAAUGUUUGCGACACUGUCAAAUUGCGGGAACCUGCUAAAGCUCUUGUAACCAACCUGGUGUAGAAAUACAACCAGGGGCCGGGGUAAUGACCUUGGAUAUGGUAAAAUCACAAGAGAUGCUACAAUGCACAAUCCGCAGCCAAGCCCUAAGGAUAUUAUAUCUAUGGGUGCAGUUCAGAGACUAGACGGCAGUGGACUUUUGAAUUUUUAUUCUUAGGUUUAAGAUAUAGUCCGUUUUAUGUUGAAAGACAUAAUGUUAGCUAAAUGCAGCUUUCUUAACGGGAGCCUGCGGCUUAAUUUGACUCAACGCGGGGAAACUUACCAGGGCCAGACCUUAGUAUGAUUGACAGAUUGAUAGCUUUUUCUUGAUUUGAGGGAAGGUGGUGCAUGGCCGUUCUUAGUUGGUGGAGUGAUUUGUCAGGUUAAUUCCCUUAACAAACGAGACCUUAACCUGCUAAAUAGUCGCCCUACUUUAGUGGGGUUGGCUUCUUAGAGGGACUAUGUACUUAAAUACAUGGAAGUUUGAGGCAAUAACAGGUCCGUGAUGCCCUUAGACGUCCUGGGCCGCACGUGUGCUACACUGACUCGCGCAACGAGUGCUUACCUGAUCCGAAAGGCAAUUGGGAAACCUUGUUAAUACGAGUCGUGCUAGGGAUUGAUCUUUGCAAUUAUGGAUCAUGAACGAGGAAUUCCUAGUAAGCAUAAGUCAUCAUCUUGUGCUGAUUACGUCCCUGCCCUUUGUACACACCGCCCGUCGCUCCUACCGAUUGAGUGGUCCGGUGAACUUUUUGGACGUUGGCUCUAGCUAAGCGGAAGCUAAGUAAACCUUAUCACUUAGAGGAAGGAAAAGUCGUAACAAGGUUUCCGUAGGUGAACCUGCAGAAGGAUCA
This 2105-nucleotide ribosomal RNA is filed under the name Trichopodiella faurei. RNAcentral's name for it is "SSU rRNA". It matches the Rfam family "Eukaryotic small subunit ribosomal RNA". The record is from RNAcentral. Lineage: Eukaryota; Ciliophora; Phyllopharyngea; Dysteriida; Hartmannulidae.